CUACAUAUUCCCGCUGUCAUGCAGCACAUUAUACCUUUUAGGACCUAUGUUAUUAGGUAUUUAUGCAAGCUCUCGGAUCAGGAGUUACGACAGAGUGCAGCUCGUAACAUGGCUGACUUAAUGUGGAGCACAGUCAAAGAACCAUUGGAUACAACAUUAUGCUUUGAUAAAGAAAGCCUAGAUCUUGCAUUUAAGUACUUUAUGUCACCUACUUUGACUAUGAGGUUGGCUGGAUUGAGUCAGAUAACAAAUCAACUCCAUACCUUCAAUGAUGUGUGCAAUAAUGAAUCAUUAGUAUCGGACACAGAAACGACGCUUACCAAGAAUGGAGCUUGCAGGACUGGAAGUUGCUCUGGGUGAGUUGGUGAGUGAUCGCUGAGAAGAUGUGAAGGCCUAGGAUGUGACUCUACACUACUGUAGACUUUGUCCAUUGCAAAAGAACUUGCAGACUGGCUUAUUAGCAACAAUGUGGUGGAGCAUAUAUUUGGACCAAAUUUACAUAUUGAGAUUAUCAAACAGUGCCAAGUGAUUUUGAAUUUUUUGGCAGCAGAAGGGCGACUGAGUACUCAACAUAUUGACUGUAUUUGGGCUGCAGCACAGUUGAAACAUUGUAGUCGGUAUAUACAUGACUUAUUUCCUUCACUCAUCAAGAAUUUGGAUCCCGUACCACUUAGACAUCUACUUAAUCUGGUCUCAGCUCUUGAGCCAAGUGUUCAUACUGAACAGACACUGUACUUGGCAUCCAUGUUAAUUAAAGCACUGUGGAAUAACGCACUAGCAGCUAAGGCUCAGUUAUCUAAACAGAGUUCUUUUGCAUCUUUAUUAAAUACUAAUAUUCCCAUUGGAAAUAAG
This 852-nucleotide long non-coding RNA is filed under the name Homo sapiens (human). Its description in RNAcentral is "HSALNT0032333". The record is from RNAcentral. Lineage: Eukaryota; Metazoa; Chordata; Mammalia; Primates; Hominidae.